GAGAUGUUGGUAAAACAAUCACAUUACCUUGUCAAGGUAAAAUUACUGGUUAAACCCCGGUACAUCUCA
Molecule: transfer RNA, 69 nt
Filed under: Xenopus muelleri (Muller's clawed frog)
Lineage: Eukaryota; Metazoa; Chordata; Amphibia; Anura; Pipidae
Description: tRNA-Asp
Rfam family: tRNA
About the family: Transfer RNA (tRNA) molecules are approximately 80 nucleotides in length. Their secondary structure includes four short double-helical elements and three loops (D, anti-codon, and T loops).
Source: RNAcentral